UACGUAGGACCCAAGCGUUGUCAGGAUUUACUGGGUGUAAAGGGAGCGCAGGCGGAUUUUCAAGUCGAUGGUGAAAUCUUGCGGCUCAACCGCAAAACAGCCGUUGAUACUGUUAAUCUUGAGUGUGGAAGAGAGUGGCGGAAUUCAUGGUGUAGCAGUGAAAUGCGUAGAUAUCAUGAAGAACACCGGUUGCGAAGGCGGCCACUUAGUCCUUUACUGACGCUCAUGCUCGAAAGCGUGGGGAUCAAACAGG
RNAcentral lists this ribosomal RNA (253 nucleotides) under uncultured bacterium. Its description in RNAcentral is "partial 16S ribosomal RNA". It matches the Rfam family "Bacterial small subunit ribosomal RNA", at positions 524 to 776 of the family's 1533-position model. The record is from RNAcentral.